RNAcentral lists this ribosomal RNA (503 nucleotides) under uncultured bacterium. RNAcentral describes it as "bacterial SSU rRNA". It matches the Rfam family "Bacterial small subunit ribosomal RNA", at positions 28 to 526 of the family's 1533-position model. The record is from RNAcentral.
GAUGAACGCUAGCGGUAGGCCUAACACAUGCAAGUCGAACGGUAACAGAGGAGCUUGCUCCUGCUGACGAGUGGCGAACGGGUGCGUAACACGUAUGCAACUUACCUCUUUCAGGGGAAUAGCCUCGAGAAAUCGGGAUUAAUACCCCAUAGUAUUACAUUUUCGCAUGAUUUUGUAAUUAAAACUCCGGUGGAAAGAGAUAGGCAUGCGGCCCAUUAGUUUGUUGGUGAGGUAACGGCUCACCAAGACUACGAUGGGUAGGGGGUCUGAGAGGAUGAUCCCCCACACUGGUACUGAGACACGGACCAGACUCCUACGGGAGGCAGCAGUGAGGAAUAUUGCGCAAUGGACGAAAGUCUGACGCAGCCAUACCGCGUGCAGGAAGACGGCCCUACGGGUUGUAAACUGCUUUUGUUUGCCAAGAAACCCACCUACGUGUAGGUGGCUGACGGUAGCAUUCGAAUAAGCACCGGCUAACUCCGUGCCAGCCGCCGCCGUAACAC